UAUAUACAGGGAGUACUGAGUCAAUGUGCAGAGGUACCAGGUAGUAGCAUGGCUAUAUACAGGGAGUACUGAGUCAAUGUGCAGAGGUACCAGGUAGUAGCAUGGCUAUAUACAGGGAGUACUGAGUCAAUGUUCAGAGGUACCAGGUAGUUGAGAUAGUUGAGGUAAUACAGUAUGUACAUGAGUGUAUGAGUAAAAGUGUCUAUAUAUACAUUUCAUGUAUGUGAAAAGUAUGUGGACACCUGCUCAUCAAACGUCUUAUUCCAAAAUCAUGGGCAUUAAUAUGGAGAUGGUCCCCCCCUUUGCUGCUAUAACAGCCUCCACU
This is a long non-coding RNA of Oncorhynchus tshawytscha (Chinook salmon), 325 nucleotides long. Lineage: Eukaryota; Metazoa; Chordata; Actinopteri; Salmoniformes; Salmonidae. The record is from Ensembl.